GACGAACGCUGGCGGCGUGCUUAACACAUGCAAGUCGAACGGAAAGGCCCUGCUGUUGUUGGGUGCUCGAGUGGCGAACGGGUGAGUAACACGUGAGUAACCUGCCCUUUACUUUGGGAUAACUUCAGGAAACUGGGGCUAAUACCGGAUAGGAGCUCCUGCUGCAUGGUGGGGGUUGGAAAGUUUCGGCGGUUGGGGAUGGACUCGCGGCUUAUCAGCUUGUUGGUGGGGUAGUGGCUUACCAAGGCUUUGACGGGUAGCCGGCCUGAGAGGGUGACCGGCAACAUUGGGACUGAGAUAGGGCCAAGACUCCUACGGGAGGCAGAAGUGGGGAAUAUUGAACAAUGGGCGGAAGCCUGAUGCAGCAACGCCGCGUGCGGGAUGACGGCCUUCGGGUUGUAACCCGCUUUCGCAUGUGACGAAGCGUGAGUGACGGUAAUGGGUAAAGAAGCACCGGCUAACUACGUG
RNAcentral lists this ribosomal RNA (468 nucleotides) under uncultured bacterium. RNAcentral describes it as "partial 16S ribosomal RNA". It matches the Rfam family "Bacterial small subunit ribosomal RNA", at positions 28 to 507 of the family's 1533-position model. The record is from RNAcentral.